Molecule: ribosomal RNA, 254 nt
Filed under: uncultured bacterium
Lineage: Bacteria
Description: partial 16S ribosomal RNA
Rfam family: Bacterial small subunit ribosomal RNA
Source: RNAcentral
UACGUAGGGGGCGAGCGUUGUCCGGAUUUAUUGGGCGUAAAGAGCUCGUAGGCGGUUUGGUAAGUUGGAUGUGAAAUCUCCAGGCUCAACUUGGAGGGGUCAUUCGAUACUGCCAUGACUAGAGUUCGGUAGGGGAGACUGGAAUUCCUGGUGUAGCGGUGAAAUGCGCAGGUAUCAGGAGGAACACCGGUGGCGAAGGCGGGUCUCUGGGCCGAUACUGACGCUGAGGAGCGAAAGCGUGGGGAGCGAACAGG